Molecule: ribosomal RNA, 468 nt
Filed under: uncultured bacterium
Lineage: Bacteria
Description: partial 16S ribosomal RNA
Rfam family: Bacterial small subunit ribosomal RNA
Source: RNAcentral
GACGAACGCUGGCGGCGUGCUUAACACAUGCAAGUCGAACGGAAAGGCCCUGCUUUUGUGGGGUGCUCGAGUGGCGAACGGGUGAGUAACACGAGAGUAACCUGCCCUUGACUUUGGGAUAACUUCAGGAAACUGGGGCGAAUACCGGAUAGGAUCUCCUGCUGCAUGGGGGGGGUUGGAAAGGUUCGGCGGUUGGGGAUGGAUGCGCGGCUUAUCAGGUUGUUGGUGGGGUAGUGGCUUACCAAGGCUUUGACGGGUAGCCGGCCUGAGCGGGUGACCGGCCACAUUGGGACUGAGAUACGGCCCAGACUCCUACGGGAGGCAGCAGUGGGGAAUAUUGCACAAUGGGCGGAAGCCUGAUGCAGCAACGCCGCGUGCGGGAUGACGGCCUUCGGGUUGUAAACCGCUUUCGCCUGUGACGAAGCGUGAGUGACGGUAAUGGGUAAAGAAGCACCGGCUAACUACGUG